Molecule: ribosomal RNA, 121 nt
Organism: Osmia bicornis bicornis
Lineage: Eukaryota; Metazoa; Arthropoda; Insecta; Hymenoptera; Megachilidae
Source: RefSeq, a predicted model, not a curated record
ACUAACGGCCAUACGACUUAGGACCACUACCGGUUCUCGUCCGAUCACCGAAGUCAAGCUAAGUUCGGCGCGGAUAGUACUUGGAUGGGUGACCGCUUGGGAACUCCGCGUGCUGUUAGUU